This 792-nucleotide ribosomal RNA is filed under the name Parawiesneriomyces syzygii. Its description in RNAcentral is "LSU rRNA". It matches the Rfam family "Eukaryotic large subunit ribosomal RNA", at positions 132 to 944 of the family's 3401-position model. Lineage: Eukaryota; Fungi; Ascomycota; Dothideomycetes; Tubeufiales; Wiesneriomycetaceae. The record is from RNAcentral.
CAGGGUCCGAGUUGUAAUUUGCAGAGGAUGCUUCGGCUUCGGCUUGGGUCUAAGUUCCUUGGAACAGGACGUCACAGAGGGUGAGAAUCCCGUAUGUGGCCCUUGCCCCCGCCAUGUGAAGCUCCUUCGACGAGUCGAGUUGUUUGGGAAUGCAGCUCUAAAUGGGAGGUAAAUUUCUUCUAAAGCUAAAUAUUGGCCAGAGACCGAUAGCGCACAAGUAGAGUGAUCGAAAGAUGAAAAGCACUUUGGAAAGAGAGUUAAAAAGUACGUGAAAUUGUUGAAAGGGAAGCGCUUGCAACCAGACUUGCACGCAGUUGCUCAGCCGGUCUUCUGACCGGUGCACUCUUCUGCGUUCAGGCCAGCAUCAGUUCGGGCGGUCGGAUAAAGGCCUUGGGAAUGUGGCUCCCCUCGGGGAGUGUUAUAGCCCUCGGUGCAAUGCGGCCAGCCUGGACUGAGGUCCGCGCUUCGGCUAGGAUGCUGGCGUAAUGGUUGUAAGCGGCCCGUCUUGAAACACGGACCAAGGAGUCUAACAUCUAUGCGAGUGUUUGGGUGUCAAACCCGUGCGCGAAAUGAAAGUGAACGGAGGUGGGAACCUUUUAGGUGCACCAUCGACCGAUCCUGAUGUCUUCGGAUGGAUUUGAGUAUGAGCAUAGCUGUUGGGACCCGAAAGAUGGUGAACUAUGCCUGAAUAGGGUGAAGCCAGAGGAAACUCUGGUGGAGGCUCGCAGCGGUUCUGACGUGCAAAUCGAUCGUCAAAUUUGGGUAUAGGGGCGAAAGACUAAUCGAACCAUC